CCUACGGGGGGCUGCAGUGGGGAAUAUUGGACAAUGGGGGGAACCCUGAUCCAGCCAUGCCGCGUGUGUGAAGAAGGCCCUCGGGUUGUAAAGCACUUUCAGUGAGGAAGAACGCCUGGUGGUUAAUACCCAUCAGGAAAGACAUCACUCACAGAAGAAGCACCGGCUAACUCCGUGCCAGCAGCCGCGGUAAUACGGAGGGUGCGAGCGUUAAUCGGAAUCACUGGGCGUAAAGCGCGCGUAGGUGGCUUGAUAAGCCGGUUGUGAAAGCCCCGGGCUCAACCUGGGAACGGCAUCCGGAACUGUCAAGCUAGAGUGCAGGAGAGGAAGGUAGAAUUCCCGGUGUAGCGGUGAAAUGCGUAGAGAUCGGGAGGAAUACCAGUGGCGAAGGCGGCCUUCUGGACUGACACUGACACUGAGGUGCGAAAGCGUGGGUAGCAAACAGGAUUAGAUACCCGAGUAGUC
RNAcentral lists this ribosomal RNA (465 nucleotides) under Vreelandella stevensii. RNAcentral describes it as "partial 16S ribosomal RNA". It matches the Rfam family "Bacterial small subunit ribosomal RNA", at positions 338 to 795 of the family's 1533-position model. The record is from RNAcentral. Lineage: Bacteria; Pseudomonadati; Pseudomonadota; Gammaproteobacteria; Oceanospirillales; Halomonadaceae.